AUCUAACUGAAGAGUCCUAAAUAGGACGAAACGCGCGUCCAACUGCAU
This is a non-coding RNA of Schistosoma haematobium, 48 nucleotides long. The record is from Rfam. NCBI's taxonomy places the organism in Eukaryota, Metazoa, Platyhelminthes, Trematoda, Strigeidida, Schistosomatidae.